Molecule: long non-coding RNA, 202 nt
Filed under: Elaeis guineensis (African oil palm)
Lineage: Eukaryota; Viridiplantae; Streptophyta; Magnoliopsida; Arecales; Arecaceae
Description: long non-coding RNA (EGUI_LNC032826)
Source: RNAcentral
GAGCAGUAGUACCAUUUCAGAUCAAAGAACUAGUCAUAUAGCUACAGCAUCGAAACAAUCACUAAUAAAUGAAUAGAAAUCCAAGUGAUCUCUCGUAUGGUCACGCUUAGUACUAGUUGUUCUCUAACAACUAUCCACACUCAUCGUCCAGUAUCUCUACACUGUAAAUUAGAGACUCAUCUAUCUCAAAAAAAGUGAUCUA